RNAcentral lists this long non-coding RNA (4309 nucleotides) under Bos grunniens (domestic yak). Its description in RNAcentral is "lncRNA (ENSBGRG00000018938.1)". Lineage: Eukaryota; Metazoa; Chordata; Mammalia; Artiodactyla; Bovidae. The record is from RNAcentral.
CUCCUCCACUGCCCGUCUGUUCUCUUGUCUCCUUAAGUAUCACCUAUGCCUGGGUUCCCAUCACCUGCUCUGAGCACCCUUAGGGACAUCUUGUUCACCCGUGUGUCCUUCCUAAUGGUACCGAGGUCACACGGUCAGCUGUGCUUUGCCGUGGCUAUCAGAGGUCACAGGCUCUCUUCUCUGGGGGAUGGCUCUCCUCCUAGAAGCGGGGUUGAUGGCUCAUGUCCCUGCAGCUGAGACUGUUUCAUUUACCUUUGUGCCAUUCCAAGGAGGGAGGGGAACCUGUGAGAUGUCAGUCCUUCCCAGCCUGCCCCCCAUCUUACUACAGCCAACCUGGGCAUUCCCAGAUGGUUUCUUAAAAAAAAGAAAGAAAAAAGCAUAUAUAUAUAUAUAUAUAUGUAUAUAUAGAAUACACAUAGAAAAUAGAUAAAUGAAUGAUUUGUUUCAGCACCCUCAAAAAUAUUUUACCAAUAGUGUUGUGUUUUACCUACAUGAGAGCCAAGAAGAGACUAGGAAAAACACAUUUACUUAUUUAUUUUAAUUAAUAUUUUUUUAUUGAAGUAUAAUCGAUUUACAUUUUGUGUUAAUUUCUGCUAUACAGCAAAGUGAUUCAGUUAUACAUAUAUAUACAUUCUUUUUUUAAAAUAUUCUUUUCCAUUAUGUUUUAUCACAGGAUACUGAAUGUAUUAUAGUUCCUUGUGCUACACAGUAGGACCUUGUUGUUUAUCCAUUCCAUAUGUACUAGUUUACAUCUGCCAACCCCUGAAUUCCCAAUCCACCCCUCCGUCACCCUUCCUACCCUUGGGAGCCACAGGGAAAGACAGAGUUCUGUUCUCCGAGCCUAUGAGUCUGUUGCUGUUUGAACAAUAGAUUCAUUUGUGUCAUAUUUUAGAUUCCACACGUAAGUGAUAUCAUAUGUUAUUUGUCCCUCUGUCUCUGACUUACUUUACUUAGUAUGAUAAUCUCCAGGUCCAUCCAUGUUGCUACAAAUGGCAUUUUUUUGUUGAUGUUUAGAAUCCAGAGACGUGGCAGACGCUGUCAAUGCCCCACUCACGCCCCUUGGCACUUACUCUUCAGGACUCAGGCUCCCUCCGGUGAGCACCUGUGACUCACCCUGUGGGCAGGGCAAGCAGGAAAUGCCAGAGAGUUAACACCCCUGGGAGCAGCCCUCAGCCAGAGAUGGAGUUGAUAAAUACCCUGGCUCCCUUUCUGCACUGGGAGGAGGUGACCAAAGUGUGUCCUGUGCUAUCUCCCCAGAGUUCCCCAGCAGGAGGGAGGCUCAGUUGCCCAUCGCCAUAAUCUGCUCAACAACUUUUUGGCUCCGUCUUUCCCCCACAUCACUUUCUCACUCUCCUACUGAUGUUUCCUGAGAUCAGCUUCCCCCUGCUUCCCAAAUUUGUGCUCCAGUUCUUGUCUUGGGCUCUGUUUCUGGGGGAGUCCAAACUAAGGCAAGAGAUUGCAUACCCAAGCUUUAAGAUUUAAGUGUUUUCCUAUGAAGCCAUACCUGAUUUGAACACUAGCCUAAUAAUGUAUAGUAUUAAUAAUAUACUUCCUUUUUUCCCUGUCUUUUAUUUUUUUUAAUUGGAGGAUAAUAGCUUUGCAAUGUUAGGUUGGUUUCUGCCAUACAACAUCGUGAAUCAGUCAUAACUAUAUAUAAUAUAUAUCCCCUCCCUUUUGAGCCUCCAGUAAUACACUUUCUAUAAUGUAUUAUUAAAGGAAAAACAUACUAAAGUGCCUUGUGCACAGCACUUCUUUCUAUCUGGGUUGCGUGAACUCUGCUGGACUUUGAGAGGCUGCUGCUGCUAAGUCACUUCAGUCGUGUCCGACUCUGUGCGACCCCAUAGAUGGAAGCCCACCAGGCUCCCCCAUCCCUGGGAUUCUCCAGGCAAGAACACUGGAGUGGGUUGCCAUUUCCUUCUCCAAUGCAUGGAGGUGAAAAGUGAAAGUAAAGUCGCUCAGUCAUGUCUGACUCUUCGUGACCCCAUGGACUGCAGCCUACCAGGCUCCUCCGUCCAUGGGAUUUUCCAGGCAAGAGUAAUGGAGUGGGUUGCCAUUGCCUUCUCCGUUUGAGAGACUAAUAGGUGUUAAAAGAUUUGAGGCUCAAAUAUGCUUGAGUUCAACAAAAUGAAGCAGGUUUCUUUACUUCAGUACUCUUGUAGUCUUUAGGAAAUUAAUAGACUGUCAGUUUCCAAAAGUGCAGGCUAUAUGCUUUCCAAAUUCAGUUGAUCUUAGAAUCACUUUUUCUCAGGAAGCCCUCUUAAUACCUUGCAGAGGAGGCUGGCAUUUCAUGGAAUAGACUUUAGGAAAGGCCUUGGUGUGCAAGCUAUAGGAUUAAAACAUAAUAUUGAGCAAAAGAUGAGGCAAGUUUUUCUGGGGGUGAGAAUGCUGCAUUUCAGGGCACCUGUGUUUUCUUUUAUGUUUUAGCCUACUAGAAGGACAGUCAUCUGUGGGCUGAGAUCAGAUGUUAAUAUUUCUUUUGCACAGAAAACCAUUUAAAUGUUUUUAUUUGAACAUUCACUGAGAAAAGAGGCAGAGAAACUUGUUCCUCAAAGUGCGAUCGGUAGACCAGCAGCAUCAGCCUCACCUAGAAGCUGGUUAGGAAUUAUAGGUUUCAAGAGAAAAUUAUUCAUCGUACCAGAGCCAUGAAGAUUGUGAGUGUGGUGAGUAUCAGUCCCUCAGUCGUGUCCGACUCUUGGUGAUACCAUGGACUGUAGCCCACCAGGCUCCUCUGUCCAUGGAAUUCUCCAGGCAAGAAUUCUGGAGUGGGUUGCCAUUUCCUUCUCCAGGGGAUCUUCCCUACCCAGGGACGAAACCCAUGUCUCUUGCAUUGCAGGCAGAUUCUUUAUCAUCUGAGCCACCAGAGAAGCCCCCAUGAAGAUUGUAUAUGUGUCUAAAUGUGUGUAAAGGAAAUAUUUAAGACAAUUAUAUCAUAAAUUGGGGGGGGUAAAGGGAUAUAAUAGGAGGUAAGUUUUCUACAUUUCACUCAAACUGGUAAAAUGGUGCCACUGGUAGACAGGAAUAAUAUGUAUGUGUUUCUAUAUAUUAGUAUGAGUAUUACCUAGAAGAACUAAUAAGAAAACUAUGUAAGGAGAUAGAUGCAAAAACAACUACACAACUCUAAAAAAUAUUCUAGAAACCCAGAGGAAGGCAGGAAAAAGAAAACUGAAAUGAAAAGCAGAGAAUAAGCAGAACACAAAAUAUAAAAAGGCAGAUAUAAGAUUUUAUAUAUUAAUAAUUACAUUACAUUUAAAUGGCCUAAAUAUACCAAUUAUGGGGGGCUUACCAGGUGGCGCUAGUGGUAAAGAAUCUAACUGUCAGCGCAGGAGACAUGAGAGAUAUGGGUUCGAUCCCUGGGUCAGGAAGAUCCUCUGGAGUAGGAAAUGGCAACCCAGUCCAGUAUUCUUACCUGGGAAAUCCCAUUGACAGAGAAGCCUGGUGGGCUGUAGUCCACAGGAUCGCAAAGAGUUGGACAUGACUGAAGUGACUUAGCAGAAUUAUAAGAUAGAGAAUGGCAGAAUAGAUUUUAAAAAUGACUUGGUUAUAUGUAAUCUGUAAAAAAUACACUUCAAAUAUGGAUAUUUGAAUUUAAUAUGUAUUGAUAUACAUAUAAAAUAUGAUAUGGGCUGGUUGAAAGGGAGAAGAUGGGAGAGCUGUAUAAUUCAAACAUUAAUCAAAAUAAAGCAGGAGUGGCUAUAUCAAUAGAAGAUAAAGUAGACUACAGAAAAAAAAAUUUCCAGGAGGAGAGAAUAUCAUAUAAUAAUAAAAGAGUAAAUACACCAAGAAAACAUAGCAUUCCUAAAUAUGGAUGCACCAAACCACAGAACAGCUAAAUAUGUGAAUAGAAAACUGAUAGAACUGAAAAGAGAAAUAGACAAAUUCACAGAUAAAGUUGGAGACAUCAACAUUCCUCUCAACAACUAAUAAACAGCUGGACAGAAAAUUGGCAAAGAUAUACAAGAAUGCAACACUACCAUCAACCAACAUUUAUAAAACACUCCACCUAACAAAAGAAGAAUAUACAUUCCUUUCAAAUGCUCAUGGAACAUAUAUACCAAGAUAGAACAUAUCCUGGACCAUAAAACAAACCGAAACAAAAUUAAAGGAUGAAAUCAUAGAGUUGUUUUCUUACUAUGAUGUAAUGAAACUAGAAAUCAAUACCUGAAAGAUAUCAGGAAAAUUUUUAAAAACUUGGAAAUGAAACAAAACAUUUCCAAUAACCCAUGUGACAAAAAGGAAGUCUCAAGUGAAAUUUAAAAAAAUACACUGAACUGAAAGUGAAAGUCGCUCAGUCAUGUCCGACUCUUUGCGA